CUUUGGGCAUUCACUAGGAAAGUAUUCUCCUGCAUAGGCUUUUUCUAGCCAAGACUUAGUUUCAUAUUGAAGCCAGAGGAAUUUUUUUUCCUUGGGGGUAGUCAAAUACAAAAAAGGGUCUGUGAAUAGAGAAAACAGGAGCUGAGUUAAACCAGUUAACACUUCUAGUGGUGUGGUAUUGUCUGUUUGGAGAGUUCUUACUUUAUCUGGAGAACUUGAUUUAAAGGGAGUAAAGAAUCCUGUUAAUAAUGCAAUGUUUCUGUAAAUUUAAAGUAAUCUGUUAUUGACUAGACAGUCAGGAAACAUUGUUUCUAAUAUAGUGUUGCAUAAAGUGGUUUUAGAUAAGGAGAGCAUGAAAAUAUGGCUACUGAGAAAUAGCUACUGGCUCUCUGGGGCAUGAACCAUCCUUUUGUUGUGUGUUUGUACAGUGCAUCACACAAUAGUGUUCUGGUCCUUGACUGAGAUGCCUAGGUGCAACAGCAUUACAAAUAAUAAUAAUAAAGCAGUGGGGGUGGGUAGAAGGAACCAUGCUGAAACCCUACAUGUCCAGCCAGAUAUCCCUGCCCUCCAGAGAUCUAGUCAUGUGGGGAGACAGUCAUAUGUAUUUGCUCUUGAUGACACUCUCCUGUUCCUGCUAGCUGAAAUGUCAGUGUCACUCACAAGGAAGUCUGCAAGCAGUCAGCAAAGCAAUGAUGGUGACAAGUGGGACUAUGUCAGAACUCUAUAUAUCCCCCAGCUCCAAUUCAGGGUUUAGGUUUGAUGCAUAUUUUCCAUAAAGAAAUGCAAACAAGAAAAGGACCCAUACACAAAGAUGAGGUGCGCGCACUCAGAAUGAGUGUAGGUUGACAGUCCGUUGCCUUUAUAAACAUAUGAUAUACCCAGAGGCAAAUCCAAUGCUGCCAACACAACUACUAAAUGAGUCUGCCAAAUAGCCAGAUGCUGCAGCUGGAAAAGCAUUUUCAUUGUCAUAGCAGCUGCAUACUGUGAUUGCCAUCCCAAAAGGAGGAGGAAGAGUUGGGGUAUGGUUAUCGAGUUAAAUGAUACACACCCACACAGAAAAGUAUGAUUGGGUAUGUGUCUAUAGGUACAUGUAUAUCUGAGUGAUGGUCUUUUCAAUAGCGACGCAAAAAAUAUAUAUGUUGAUUACUAAUAACUCAUUAAAGGAAAUAUAAACAAAGUCAGGAGAAAAGAGAUUUUUAAAAAAUGGUUAAGAUGAAAAAUUUUAGUUUUGUAUUUUUACCCUUUAUUGGCUAACACAAGUGGUGACCUAAACACCAAGUUUUGAAGUGAGCACUAAUAUCCCAUUGAAACUAUCUGGGAUAUAAUGAGUGUGCACACAAAGGUUAUAUAUAAACUACUUGGUGUUACCAGUGAAAAGAAUAAGACUUGGAUCAAGUGCUUUUAAAUCAAGUUAUUAUGGGCUACCACUUUUACAGGUGAAGGCUAACCACAAUCCUGUAAUCUACUCACAUGGGACAACUCAUGAGAGUAAAGAUUGCAGGACGGCUUGGGGACAGCUCACAUGAAUAAGGGUUGCAGGAUCUCUCCCAUAGCUAGCAUGGGUAAUAUAGCAAACUUCAGAAAAUAACUCUCUCAUUUUCAUGAAAAACUGGGUCAGUGUUAGGUAUCCCUUACACCAUUGAUUAGCAGCCUGUGGUCUCUGUUGGUGAAGAGCUCAAUCCAACUAAUUGUGAUGGGUUGUGCAGCUCCUUCUAGUCCUGUGUAUUACAGUUUUGAAUUUAUAGUCACUUGCAGAGACAUGUGUUAGCUAUAGUUUGUAUUGUGAGACUGCUUAAUGCACACUUAAGAAACAUAUUGAAGUUCAACUGGACUUCCCAUUCUUAACUGAUGUUACUUCAGAUUUGUAAUCUUAACUAAUGAAAAAGCCUUUAUAUAAAAUGUAAGAUUUGGAAAGUGCAUGGUAAAAAAUAUCCUAUAUCUAGGGUUGCCAACUUUCUAAUAAUACAAAACUGAACACCCUUGCCUUGCCCAUGGCGCUCUCUCUUCCCCCCCCCCAUCACUUGC
Long non-coding RNA from Mauremys mutica (yellowpond turtle), 2025 nucleotides. RefSeq lists it as uncharacterized. The record is from RefSeq and is a predicted model, not a curated record. The transcript is spliced from 3 exons. Lineage: Eukaryota; Metazoa; Chordata; Testudines; Geoemydidae.